Molecule: ribosomal RNA, 681 nt
Filed under: Enterococcus gallinarum
Lineage: Bacteria; Bacillati; Bacillota; Bacilli; Lactobacillales; Enterococcaceae
Description: bacterial SSU rRNA
Rfam family: Bacterial small subunit ribosomal RNA
Source: RNAcentral
GCUUUUUCUUUCACCGGAGCUUGCUCCACCGAAAGAAAAAGAGUGGCGAACGGGUGAGUAACACGUGGGUAACCUGCCCAUCAGAAGGGGAUAACACUUGGAAACAGGUGCUAAUACCGUAUAACACUAUUUUCCGCAUGGAAGAAAGUUGAAAGGCGCUUUUGCGUCACUGAUGGAUGGACCCGCGGUGCAUUAGCUAGUUGGUGAGGUAACGGCUCACCAAGGCCACGAUGCAUAGCCGACCUGRGAGGGUGAUCGGCCACACUGGGACUGAGACACGGCCCAGACUCCUACGGGAGGCAGCAGUAGGGAAUCUUCGGCAAUGGACGAAAGUCUGACCGAGCAACGCCGCGUGAGUGAAGAAGGUUUUCGGAUCGUAAAACUCUGUUGUUAGAGAAGAACAAGGAUGAGAGUAGAACGUUCAUCCCUUGACGGUAUCUAACCAGAAAGCCACGGCUAACUACGUGCCAGCAGCCGCGGUAAUACGUAGGUGGCAAGCGUUGUCCGGAUUUAUUGGGCGUAAAGCGAGCGCAGGCGGUUUCUUAAGUCUGAUGUGAAAGCCCCCGGCUCAACCGGGGAGGGUCAUUGGAAACUGGGAGACUUGAGUGCAGAAGAGGAGAGUGGAAUUCCAUGUGUAGCGGUGAAAUGCGUAGAUAUAUGGAGGAACACCAGUGGCGAAGG